Molecule: long non-coding RNA, 2216 nt
Filed under: Sus scrofa (pig)
Lineage: Eukaryota; Metazoa; Chordata; Mammalia; Artiodactyla; Suidae
Description: lncRNA (ENSSSCG00050068271.1)
Source: RNAcentral
GAAUAACAUUAUUUACUGAGUCUAUUUACAACACAGAAUGGGAAAAAGACAGACAUGGAUGGUGUGGGUUAAUAUCCUUAGGAUGGAGGCAAGCAGCAUGAAAGGAAGAGCACUUUUUUCUCUCUGCUUGUGUUGUGGUUAGGACCAGAGUUGAGGCUGGACAAGGUAGGGUGGGGUCAGUAGAAAGAAAUCACCUGGAACCACCCCAUGCUGGCUUUAUUGGAAGGACACAGGGUCUCAGCAAGAUGCCAACUGCAGCACAUGAAGUAAUGGAUAGAGGACCUCACCUUUUAACUGCCUGGUUACCAUGGACCAAUGACAUUCUUGGUGGCAUCUGCACCCUUUCCAAAAUAUGCGAAUCUCCCACCUUAUGGGGCAGAACCUUCAUCUUAUCAUAGAAGAUGAAAACACUAAGGACUCACUUUCCAGCCUCCCUUGCAACCAGGGUAUGGCUGUGACCCAGGUUUUGCCAACUGAACACACCUGUAAAAGCCUUAAAUUCCCUCUUUAUGUAGAUGCAAAAAUUCCAUGAUGUAUUCUAUUUCCUAUUAUCUAUACUUUCUGAUAUUUUAUAGUAGGAACCAGAAAAAAUGAGGAGAAACAAGGGAAGGAAGAAAGGGGAAAAAAAGAGUCAGUGGACUCUUUUAAAUGGGAGAUUUUCGACCAGAUUUUUGCAGUAUAGUUAUAAAAGAUGUUAUCACUGGAGGAGACUGAGUGAAGGAUAAAUGGGUCUUCUCUCUACUACUUUUGCAACUUCUUGUGAAUCUAUAAUUAUUUCAAAAUAGAAAGUUACAAGAAGAAAAGGAUUCCUGGCUGCUGUGUAGAAAACAGAUGUGAGGCAGGACAGAGGUAGGAAAGCAGAAUUGGAAGUAGAGAGUGAACAGGAUGUGAAAUAACAGGAGUCAGCUGAGUGAGGUAAGGUAUGUCAAAGAAGUCGUUUUGGGGACAUAACUGUUGUAUUAGAUCUAAAGAAGAUUUGAUUGAUAUCAAAGAGUAGAAACGAUAUUCUGGGUAAAGGAGAAAGAAAAAAAAUAGUAGAAAUUGUGACGUGGUUCACCCUCUUGUUUUCUGCAGGAUCAUACUUAAUCUAUGCUAGCCAAAAUCAUUUCUUUUUUUCUUUUUUAAAAAAGGCAUCCAAAGGAGGAUAAUUAAGACUCCUCAAUUUUAAAAGUUUCAGGACCCACAGAUAUUUGGUUGUCAACAAGAUGAUUUAUGUUUUUCCUAAAGUUCUAAUAUCUAUUGAGAAGUUUUAUCCUCCUUACUCAAAUAUACACCUUUAAAAUUGUCUAUAGUGAUAUCUUCUGUUUAUUUAUGUCCAUUCUUCAAAUUAUACUUUAAUCUGGGUGGGGCAUUUCAUUAAGUGCUAUUUUAUAGCUUACUGUGAAAUGUCAAUCAUUUAUUCAUUAAGCAGUAUAGAUAUGUUGGUAUGAAUAUAUUAAUUCAUAAAAGAAUAACCUAAGUUUAUUGAUACAUUGUUGACAAAUGACUUUAGUACCAUACAUUCUCAGGUUUAGUAAUCACAUAAGUAGGGAUAGAAUAAGAAAAAUAUUGACAGGUCCUAUACACUUACGAAAAGCAAGGAGCUAAAAUACAAACCUGCUCCCAAUAUGAAAGAAAACCACAGUCCUCAAUUCCCCUUUUAACAGUGUUCAUGCUUUUAGAGUUGAGCCUAAUCAAGUUCUAAUGUCUUUUUAACCCACACCUCCCUUCACAUUCUCUCCAUAUGUAAGAUUGGGGUUUCACUGAGUCCAAAGGGACUUGAGAAGCUAGGGAAUGAAAGAACUGCAGUGGGUUAGUACAUUUUCCCUAAAGUUCCAACAUGUGGGUCACACUUUGAAAUUUCAACUGGAAUAAUGUUGAGGAAGAGUUGAUAAAUAAUACGUAUUGAACAAAUGUUACUUUGUUGAGGAACUAUUGUCAUUAUGAUGAUGUAACUUUUCCUCUCUGUAAGAGGAAAUAAAAAAGAACUGUUUAAUUUGUAUGGGGAGAGAUUUAGCUCUUAAUGGAGAAAAUCCUGACACUGAAACAAAGAAGUAAUAGAUAUAACAUUAGAGAUGAUUUGCUAGGCUUUGUCAGUGAAGGUUAUAGUAGGUUGGGAGUAAGGGGGAAAGACUGGAAAUUCUUGCUUGUAUCUACUUAUUAAUUCGGUUCUUUCCAAUCUCUUUGAUGUUAAUUGCAUUAAUCAGAAAAUUAAAUCACAUUGACUAUGGCUACCC